AUACGGAGGAUGCAAGCGUUAUCCGGAUUUAUUGGGUUUAAAGGGUGCGUAGGCGGACUAAUUAGUCAGCGGUGAAAUUUUGCGGCUCAACCGUAAAACUGCCGUUGAAACUGUUAGUCUUGAGUGCGGUAGAGGUAGGCGGAAUGUGUGGUGUAGCGGUGAAAUGCUUAGAUAUCACACAGAACACCGAUUGCGUAGGCAGCUUACUGGAGCGCAACUGACGCUGAGGCACGAAAGCGUGGGGAUC
This 247-nucleotide ribosomal RNA is filed under the name uncultured bacterium. RNAcentral describes it as "partial 16S ribosomal RNA". It matches the Rfam family "Bacterial small subunit ribosomal RNA", at positions 523 to 769 of the family's 1533-position model. The record is from RNAcentral.